This 366-nucleotide ribosomal RNA is filed under the name Bacillus cereus. Its description in RNAcentral is "bacterial SSU rRNA". It matches the Rfam family "Bacterial small subunit ribosomal RNA", at positions 558 to 923 of the family's 1533-position model. Lineage: Bacteria; Bacillati; Bacillota; Bacilli; Caryophanales; Bacillaceae. The record is from RNAcentral.
GCGUAAGCGCGCGCAGGUGGUUUCUUAAGUCUGAUGUGAAAGCCCACGGCUCAACCGUGGAGGGUCAUUGGAAACUGGGAGACUUGAGUGCAGAAGAGGAAAGUGGAAUUCCAUGUGUAGCGGUGAAAUGCGUAGAGAUAUGGAGGAACACCAGUGGCGAAGGCGACUUUCUGGUCUGUAACUGACACUGAGGCGCGAAAGCGUGGGGAGCAAACAGGAUUAGAUACCCUGGUAGUCCACGCCGUAAACGAUGAGUGCUAAGUGUUAGAGGGUUUCCGCCCUUUACUGCUGAAGUUAACGCAUUAAGCACUCCGCCUGGGGAGUACAGCCGCAAGGCUGAACCUCAAAGGAAUUGACGGGGGCCCG